UGGGGAAUAUUGGACAAUGGGCGCAAGCCUGAUCCAGCCAUGCCGCGUGAGUGAUGAAGGCCCUAGGGUUGUAAAGCUCUUUCACCGGUGAAGAUAAUGACGGUAACCGGAGAAGAAGCCCCGGCUAACUUCGUGCCAGCAGCCGCGGUAAUACGAAGGGGGCUAGCGUUGUUCGGAUUUACUGGGCGUAAAGCGCACGUAGGCGGACUAUUAAGUCAGGGGUGAAAUCCCGGGGCUCAACCCCGGAACUGCCUUUGAUACUGGUAGUCUUGAGUUCGAGAGUGGUGAGUGGAAUUCCCGGUGUAGAGGUGAAAUUCGUAGAUAUUCGGAGGAACACCAUUGCCGAAGGCUGCUCACUGGCUCGAUACUGACGCUGAUGUGCGAAAGCGUGGGGAGCAAACAGG
This 404-nucleotide ribosomal RNA is filed under the name Actinomycetes bacterium. Its description in RNAcentral is "Actinobacteria bacterium partial 16S ribosomal RNA". It matches the Rfam family "Bacterial small subunit ribosomal RNA", at positions 355 to 776 of the family's 1533-position model. Lineage: Bacteria; Bacillati; Actinomycetota; Actinomycetes. The record is from RNAcentral.